CUUCAGACUACACCACAAGGACCAUUUGACUGUCCCCUCUGGCUUCUGCAUCUUGCUUCCAGCGUGAACAGACAGCAGUCAUCAUGCUGUAAUAAUUUUCUCCCGCUUCACCUGUGGUCCCUAUGAAUAACAGAGUGGGGAGAGAGGGGAAAGCUGAAGAAGAAGAUGAGUUUGGCUUAGUGUCUGAUGAUCACACCGUUACACACUGCAUCCUACCUUUUCAGGAUCUAAAACAGAAUUAUGUACAAGCCCUGCUGCAUAUGUACUCAUAUAUCUCAAAUGCUGUGUGUCUUUAAAUGCGAGAAGCCAUUGGCUUUGCUGAUCAGCCCAAGAUGGGCAUUUCAUACUCAGAGGUGGCAUGGAAAAAAGCACAGAGAUGGUUGUAGAAAAAGAAGACAGUGUCUUGAGGCUGGCAUCACUGGCUGAGUUAUCAGGGUAAACAAUGGUGCCUUUAAAGGAUACAGUCUGAGGUGAAUAAGAAGACUGAGCAACUCCGACAGCCACAGAAACCAAAGCAAUCUAACAUAGUGCUACAG
Molecule: long non-coding RNA, 536 nt
Organism: Mauremys reevesii (Reeves's turtle)
Lineage: Eukaryota; Metazoa; Chordata; Testudines; Geoemydidae
Exons: 5
Source: RefSeq, a predicted model, not a curated record